UAUCUGCUGAACUCUGUAAGGCGAAUUUGUUAAAAAUAGAGUUAAAGAUUCUUGACAGUUAAAGAUUCCGUUGUUUGGACAAUGCCCAAUCUAACCUCAAAUGGGUUUUUGGCAGUAAGGUUUUCACUGGUGUUGGGAGGUCUAGGAGCCGUCCACCUGGCCAAGGAUAUAGAGGCCCAUCAAGGACCCACAGAGGUUCCUACUCCACACAACGACCCUUC
Molecule: non-coding RNA, 221 nt
Organism: Pelobates cultripes (western spadefoot toad)
Lineage: Eukaryota; Metazoa; Chordata; Amphibia; Anura; Pelobatidae
Source: the annotation of a GenBank genome assembly